GCUGAUGGGUCAUAACAGUCAUGUCAUGGACUCAUGGCCUGGGUGAAUUUAUUUUUUCGAAUUUUUUUUAUUAUUUUUCAAAGAAAAGGUUAAACAAAUUAAAAAUAUAUUUUUUUUUAUCAAAAUGACUAUAAUGUCCUCACUAACAUUCAAAAAUUUAAAUAUUAGAGAGGACAUUUUGGUCAAAAAGUAAAAAAUAUUUAUAUAUAUUUUUUUAAUUUUUUUAUAUCUAUAAAUACUCCUACAAACAUUCAAAUUCCUCACAACAAACAACUCUUCAUUCAUUCUAUUCUACAAACACAAAUUCUUCCUACUCUUAAACUUUCAAUUUAAAUUCUUUUCUUUCUCAACUCUUAAGUUUACUUAGCAAAUAUUUUAAAUAUUUUUUAAUAAAUUUUUUUUAUACAAAGUCUCUUCACAAUUUCACCAUACAAAAUUUUAAUUUCAACACUAUAAUUAAUCUCUUAUUGUUUUAGUUUUUAAUUUUUAAAAUAUUUUUAUUUAAUUUUUUUUGGUAUUAUUGUAUUUAUUUUUUAUAAUAAUGUCGGGUGAAUUUUCUCACAUAGAUUU
Molecule: long non-coding RNA, 570 nt
Filed under: Ananas comosus (pineapple)
Lineage: Eukaryota; Viridiplantae; Streptophyta; Magnoliopsida; Poales; Bromeliaceae
Description: long non-coding RNA (ACOM_LNC030281)
Source: RNAcentral